UCUCCUACGGGAGGCAGCAGUGGGGAAUAUUGGACAAUGGGCGCAAGCCUGAUCCAGCCAUGCCGCGUGAGUGAUGAAGGCCCUAGGGUUGUAAAGCUCUUUUGUGCGGGAAGAUAAUGACGGUACCGCAAGAAUAAGCCCCGGCUAACUUCGUGCCAGCAGCCGCGGUAAUACGAAGGGGGCUAGCGUUGCUCGGAAUCACUGGGCGUAAAGGGUGCGUAGGCGGGUCUUUAAGUCAGGGGUGAAAUCCUGGAGCUCAACUCCAGAACUGCCUUUGAUACUGAGGAUCUUGAGUUCGGGAGAGGUGAGUGGAACUGCGAGUGUAGAGGUGAAAUUCGUAGAUAUUCGCAAGAACACCAGUGGCGAAGGCGGCUCACUGGCCCGAUACUGACGCUGAGGCACGAAAGCGUGGGGAGCAAACAGGAUUAGAUACCCUGGUAGUCCACGGGUACAUUGCUUCCGUAGGGGUACUGCUUGUCCAUUUCUGCUUUUAAGCUGCCGCCGGGAGCGUCGCAGGAU
This 519-nucleotide ribosomal RNA is filed under the name uncultured Bradyrhizobium sp. Its description in RNAcentral is "bacterial SSU rRNA". It matches the Rfam family "Bacterial small subunit ribosomal RNA", at positions 335 to 880 of the family's 1533-position model. Lineage: Bacteria; Pseudomonadati; Pseudomonadota; Alphaproteobacteria; Hyphomicrobiales; Nitrobacteraceae. The record is from RNAcentral.